GUCCGCAACGAGCGCAACCCCGCCGUUAGUGCCAGCGGUUCGGCCGGGCACUCUAACGGGACUGCCCGCGAAAGCGGGAGGAAGGAGGGACGACGUCUGGUCAGCAUGGCCCUUACGGCCUGGGCGACACACGUGCUACAAUGCCCACUACAAAGCGAUGCCACCCGGCAACGGGGAGCUAAUCGCAAAAAGGUGGGCCCAGUUCGGAUUGGGGUCUGCAACCCGACCCCAUGAAGCCGGAAUCGCUAGUAAUCGCGGAUCAGCCAUGCCGCGGUGAAUACGUUCCCGGGCCUU
RNAcentral lists this ribosomal RNA (294 nucleotides) under uncultured Thermus sp. RNAcentral's name for it is "partial 16S ribosomal RNA". It matches the Rfam family "Bacterial small subunit ribosomal RNA", at positions 1085 to 1382 of the family's 1533-position model. The record is from RNAcentral. Lineage: Bacteria; Thermotogati; Deinococcota; Deinococci; Thermales; Thermaceae.